RNAcentral lists this long non-coding RNA (1724 nucleotides) under Homo sapiens (human). Its description in RNAcentral is "HSALNT0265851". Lineage: Eukaryota; Metazoa; Chordata; Mammalia; Primates; Hominidae. The record is from RNAcentral.
CAGCACACAACCUCCUCCACGUCAUUUCACUUGUGGUCUUCAGCCCAUGCUUCGUGGGUUUUUAUGAGCAGCAAUAAAGCAGCCACGAAAGAAAGUCCACUUGCUGUCUACACCUGCAUGAUCCCACUCUGUACCCAGCCAGACUUCACGGAGGAACCAAGCCGAUGUCCUAAGGAAUCCACUGCAGGCAACAUACUCAUGCAUCCCCUCUGCGCCUAGGCUGCUCCUGGUGAUGUCCCUUCCUUGUGCAAUUCCUUUUUGGUGUGAGAGCAGAGAUGACAUGAUUUCUAUUCUGAUUUUGUGAAGGCAUAUUUUAUGGCCUAGAAUGUGGUCUAGCUUGGUGAGUGUUUCAUGUGGGCUUCAGAAGGACAUGCAUUCUGUUGUUGGAUGAAAUAGUCUAUAUGCAGUUGGAUGAAGCAGUAUUAUAUCCAGUUGACUCAUGGUGCUGUGGAGCUCAACUAUGCCUUUAGUGCAUUUCUUCCUAAAGAUUCUAUCCAUUUCUCACAGUAGUAUUGAAGUCUGCAACUCUAAAAGUGGAUUCAUCUUUUCCUUCUUGGAGUUAUGUCAGUUUUUGCCUCAUGUGUCUUGACAUUCUGUUGUUAAAUGCACACAUGUUAAGGAUUAUUAUUUCUUAGAGAAUUCAUUGACACCGUUAUUCUUUAGUAAUGCCUCUCUUUAUUCAUGAUAAGUUUUACUCUGAAAUCUGCUCUGAAAUUAAUAUAACUGAUUGCACUUUUUCUUAUUAGUGUUAGUAUGGCAUAUUUUUCUUUACCUAUUUGCUUUAUGUGUCUUUAAAUUUAAAGUACGUUUCUUGUAGAAAGUAGUUGGGUCUUGUUUUUUUAUUCACUCUGACAAUCUAUGUGUUUUACCUGGUGCACUUAAGCCACUGAUAUUCAAAAUGAUUGCUGACAUAGUUGGAUUACUAUGUGUCAUAUUUAUUACUGUUUUCUAUUUGUUGACUUUUUAAUUUUUUUCCAAUUUUUGCCCUCCACUCUUUUUUUUUUUUGCCUUUUGUGGUUUUAACUAUUUGAUUUUUUCCAUUUUGCCUCCUAUCUUAGUAUACAAGUUGUACUUUUUUAGUGGUUGCUGUAGAGUUUGCAGUUUACAAAAACUACAAAUCCACUCUCAAAUAAGAUCAUAGUACUUCAUAGACAAUGUAGGCACCUUAUAAUAACAAAAUAAUCCUAAUUCCUUUCUCCCAUCCCUUUCUUUGUAUCUUUCCAGUUGUUCAUUUUUCUUAUAAACACGCACAAUCAAAUACUUGGCUGAUACUUGAACAGUUAUCUGUUAGACCUGUUAAAUCAAGUUUAGCCUAAAGUUGCCUCCCUGUGUAUUUUAAGUUUGGUCUAAGAGUUUAUCUGUACAUCGUGAACUAUAACAAGUGGAGUUGUAAACAGACCAUAGCCUACACUCGUGCCAGUCACCCAGUUUUCACCAAUCAAAUGUAGCUAACUGUUUGAACCAUGUUCAAAUAAGGCAAACACCAAGCUGUAACCAAUCCAGCUGUUCCUGUGUCUCACUUCCAUUUUCUGUGUGUCACUUUCCUUUUUCUGUCCAUAAAUCUUCUUCCACCAUGUGGCUGUGCCGGAGCCUCCAAGCCUACUCUGUCAGGGAAGGCUGCCCAAUUCGCGAGUCGUUCAUUGCUCCAUUGCACUCCUUCAAAUUUAAUUUGGCUGAGGUUUUUCUUUUAUCAGAUGAUGUCAGAAGCAAGGUCUGAAGUAGAG